UGAGGAAUAUUGGGCAAUGCCCGCAAGGGUGACCCAGCAACGCCGCGUGGAGGAUGAAUGUCGUAAGAUUGUAAACUCCUGUUAGAGGGGAAGAAUAGUACCGGUUGGACCGGUAUAUGACUGUACCCUCAGAGAAAGCCCCGGCUAACUCCGUGCCAGCAGCCGCGGUAAUACGGAGGGUGCAAGCGUUAUCCGGAUUCACUGGGUUUAAAGGGUGCGUAGGUGGGUAUGUAAGUCAGUGGUGAAAUCCCCGAGCUUAACUUGGGAACUGCCAUUGAUACUAUAUAUCUUGAAUACCGUAGAGGUCAGCGGAAUAUGUCAUGUAGCGGUGAAAUGCUUAGAUAUGACAUGGAACACCAAUUGCGAAGGCAGCUUACUAUGCGGUGAUUGACACUGAGGCACGAAAGCGUGGGUAGCAAACA
RNAcentral lists this ribosomal RNA (422 nucleotides) under uncultured bacterium. RNAcentral's name for it is "bacterial SSU rRNA". It matches the Rfam family "Bacterial small subunit ribosomal RNA", at positions 355 to 774 of the family's 1533-position model. The record is from RNAcentral.